This 325-nucleotide long non-coding RNA is filed under the name Penaeus japonicus. Its description in RNAcentral is "uncharacterized LOC122261000". The record is from RNAcentral. Lineage: Eukaryota; Metazoa; Arthropoda; Malacostraca; Decapoda; Penaeidae.
GAACUACAAGAACACCUUCAAACCAAAAAUCAUGAAAACAAUCUUCCUCGUGGUGAUGUUCGUGUGCCUGCUGGCUCUCAUGGCCCAAGGAGCUCCCCAGUUGAUCAUCACUCGCAAAAGACACUUCCCAGGCGAGCGAAGACUUGGAAGCACUAACUAUGGCCAGUACAGCUUCGGCAAGAGGGGAUAUUCAAGGAGAACUAAUCCCGCAAAGAGAGAACACUAAAGCACCAAAGGACACUAAAGGAAACCCCCUUACAGGAUGGACCAUGAGGGCUUCUAUGACCUAAGUUAUACAUCGUUCUUGGUUCUAACCUUAAAAUGC